GAUGAACGCUAGCGGCAGGCCUAAUACAUGCAAGUCGGACGGGAUUGGAGAGCUUGCUUUCCAUGAGAGUGGCGCACGGAUGCGCAACACGUAUGUAACCUACCUUGUUCAGGGGGAUAGCCUCUCGAAAGAGAGAUUAAGACCGCAUAACCUUGCGAUGUGGCAUCACAUUGUAAUCAAAUAUUUAUAGGAACAAGAUGGGCAUGCGGAACAUUAGCUAGUUGGUAAGGUAACGGCUUACCAAGGCUACGAUGUUUAGGGGAUCUGAGAGGAUGACCCCCCACACUGGUACUGAGACACGGACCAGACUCCUACGGGAGGCAGCAGUAAGGAAUAUUGGUCAAUGGGCGGAAGCCUGAACCAGCCAUGCCGCGUGCAGGAAGACGGCCCUAUGGGUUGUAAACUGCUUUUGCAGGGGAAUAAACCUUGGUACGUGUACCAAGCUGAAUGUACUCUGAGAAUAAGGAUCGGCUAACUCCGUGCCAGCCGCCGCCGUAA
Molecule: ribosomal RNA, 498 nt
Filed under: uncultured bacterium
Lineage: Bacteria
Description: partial 16S ribosomal RNA
Rfam family: Bacterial small subunit ribosomal RNA
Source: RNAcentral